This 253-nucleotide ribosomal RNA is filed under the name uncultured bacterium. RNAcentral's name for it is "partial 16S ribosomal RNA". It matches the Rfam family "Bacterial small subunit ribosomal RNA", at positions 524 to 776 of the family's 1533-position model. The record is from RNAcentral.
UACGUAGGUGGCAAGCGUUGUCCGGAUUUAUUGGGCGUAAAGAGCGCGUAGGCGGGUUUUUAAGUCAGAUGUGAAAUCCCGGGGCUCAACCCCGGAACAGCAUUUGAAACUGAGAAUCUUGAGGGUAGUCGGAGAAAAUGGAAUUCCACGUGUAGCGGUGAAAUGCGUAGAUAUGUGGAAGAACACCGGUGGCGAAGGCGAUUUUCUAGAUUAUUCCUGACGCUGAGGCGCGAAAGCAAGGGGAUCAAACAGG